This 251-nucleotide ribosomal RNA is filed under the name uncultured Bartonella sp. RNAcentral's name for it is "partial 16S ribosomal RNA". It matches the Rfam family "Bacterial small subunit ribosomal RNA", at positions 524 to 774 of the family's 1533-position model. The record is from RNAcentral. Lineage: Bacteria; Pseudomonadati; Pseudomonadota; Alphaproteobacteria; Hyphomicrobiales; Bartonellaceae.
UACGAAGGGGGCUAGCGUUGUUCGGAUUUACUGGGCGUAAAGCGCACGUAGGCGGAUAUUUAAGUCAGAGGUGAAAUCCCAGGGCUCAACCCUGGAACUGCCUUUGAUACUGGAUGUCUUGAGUAUGGAAGAGGUGAGUGGAAUUCCGAGUGUAGAGGUAAAAUUCGUAGAUAUUCGGAGGAACACCAGUGGCGAAGGCGGCUCACUGGUCCAUUACUGACGCUGAGGUACGAAAGCAUAAGUAGCGAAAA